CGGCGAGCGAGCCGCGCAAAGCCCAACUUGAAAAUCUCCCUUGGAGAAUUGUAGUCUAUGAAGUACCCUCUGUAACGGGCGCAGCUCAAGUCUCCUGGAAAGGGGCGUCAGAGAGGGUGAGAACCCCGUAAGCUGUUGCUUCGUUGCCUCACGAGGUGCUUUCAAAGAGUCGGGUUGCUUGGGAAUGCAGCCCAAAUUUGGUGGUAAAUCCCAUCUAAGGCUAAAUAUUGGCGAGAGACCGAUAGCGAACAAGUACCGUGAGGGAAAGAUGAAAAGAACUUUGAAAAGAGAGUUAAAAAGUGCUUGAAAUUGUUGAGGGGGAAGCGUUUGAAUGCUAGAGUGCGCCUAGGCUUAUGGGUUCUUAACGGAGCUCUGUAUGUGCUAGGUGCUGGCCAGCAUGGGUUAGGCGAGCGGGAUAAACGCUGGGGUUGAUACCCGGUCUAUGCCGCUUGCUUGACCAAGGCGUGAAGACUGCCCUUGUCCUUCGGGAACUGCAGUCUCAAGAUGCUGGCAAAAAGCUUUCAACCGACCCGUCUUGAAACACGGACCAAGGAGUCUAACAUGUAUGCGAGUUGGUGGGUGGAAAACCCAUGAAGCGUAAGGAAACUGACUGGUGAGAUGGCCUGUGCCUGCAUCAUCGACCGACCAUGCGUUUCUGCAAAAGGUUUGAGUGCGAGCAUACCUGUUGGGACCCGAAAGAUGGUGAACUAUGCCUGAGCAGGGUGAAGCCAGGUGAAAACCUGGUGGAGGCUCGUAGAUGUGCUGACGUGCAAAUCGCUUUUUCGGACUUGGGUAUAGGGGCGAAAGACUAAUCGAACCUUCUAGUA
RNAcentral lists this ribosomal RNA (827 nucleotides) under Tetradesmus obliquus. RNAcentral's name for it is "eukaryotic LSU rRNA". It matches the Rfam family "Eukaryotic large subunit ribosomal RNA", at positions 87 to 949 of the family's 3401-position model. The record is from RNAcentral. Lineage: Eukaryota; Viridiplantae; Chlorophyta; Chlorophyceae; Sphaeropleales; Scenedesmaceae.